Molecule: ribosomal RNA, 431 nt
Filed under: uncultured bacterium
Lineage: Bacteria
Description: partial 16S ribosomal RNA
Rfam family: Bacterial small subunit ribosomal RNA
Source: RNAcentral
AACGAACGCUGGCGGCAGGCCUAACACAUGCAAGUCGAGCGCCCUUUCGGGGGAGCGGCGGACGGGUGAGUAACGCGUGGGAAUAUGCCCUUCUCUACGGAAUAGCCUCGGGAAACUGAGAGUAAUACCGUAUACGCCCUGUGGGGGAAAGAUUUAUCGGGGAAGGAUUAGCCCGCGUUGGAUUAGGUAGUUGGUGGGGUAAUGGCCUACCAAGCCGACGAUCCAUAGCUGGUUUGAGAGGCUGAUCAGCCACACUGGGACUGAGACACGGCCCAGACUCCUACGGGAGGCAGCAGUGGGGAAUCUUAGACAAGGGGGGCAACCCUGAUCGAGCCAUGCCGCGUGAGUGAUGAAGGCCUUAGGGUUGUAAAGCUCUUUCAGCUGGGAAGAUAAUGACGGUACCAGCAGAAGAAGCCCCGGCUAACUCCGUG